RNAcentral lists this ribosomal RNA (459 nucleotides) under uncultured bacterium. RNAcentral describes it as "partial 16S ribosomal RNA". It matches the Rfam family "Bacterial small subunit ribosomal RNA", at positions 339 to 795 of the family's 1533-position model. The record is from RNAcentral.
CUACGGGGCGCUGCAGUAAGGAAUAUUGCGCAAUGGAGGCAACUCUGACGCAGCCAUGCCGCGUGCAGGAAGAAGGCCUUAUGGGUCGUAAACUGCUUUUAUUUAGGAAUAAACCCCCGAACGUGUUCGGGGCUGAAGGUACUAAACGAAUAAGCACCGGCUAACUCCGUGCCAGCAGCCGCGGUAAUAGGGAGGGUGCAAGCGUUAUCCGGAUUUGUUGGGUUUAAAGGGUGCGCAGGCGGGCUAUUAAGUCAGUGGUGAAAUCCCGGGGCUCAACUCCGGAACUGCCAUUGAUACUGAUAGUCUUGAGUUUGGUUGAAGUGGGCGGAAUGUAGCAUGUAGCGGUGAAAUGCAUAGAUAUGCUACAGAACACCAAUCGCGAAGGCAGCUCACUAAGCCAAAACUGACGCUCAUGCACGAAAGCGUGGGGAUCAAACAGGAUUAGAUACCCGCGUAGUC